This 233-nucleotide long non-coding RNA is filed under the name Lathyrus oleraceus (garden pea). RNAcentral's name for it is "Pisum sativum (pea) long non-coding RNA (PSAT_LNC011578)". Lineage: Eukaryota; Viridiplantae; Streptophyta; Magnoliopsida; Fabales; Fabaceae. The record is from RNAcentral.
AUAGUAUUAAGAAUAUUUGCAUAUCGAAUAGUCUCACAUUGACUGUAUAAUGUAAUUAGUUAUAAUCUCUCUAUAUAUAAUAAAGUCUCCGUAGUGCUUUUGCAAAACACACGGUUUAUUCAAAUAUCUCUUAAUCUCAUAUUUCAACGAUAACUAUGUAAAUAACUAUAUUAAUAAGCCAAUAUCCAUGUGUCUAAACUUUCUGAAUAUAUUAUAUUCGAUUGCAUAGAAAC